UCGAGCGGACAGAUGGGAGCUUGCUCCCUGAUGUUAGCGGCGGACGGGUGAGUAACACGUGGGUAACCUGCCUGUAAGACUGGGAUAACUCCGGGAAACCGGGGCUAAUACCGGAUGCUUGUUUGAACCGCAUGGUUCAAACAUAAAAGGUGGCUUCGGCUACCACUUACAGAUGGACCCGCGGCGCAUUAGCUAGUUGGUGAGGUAACGGCUCACCAAGGCAACGAUGCGUAGCCGACCUGAGAGGGUGAUCGGCCACACUGGGACUGAGACACGGCCCAGACUCCUACGGGAGGCAGCAGUAGGGAAUCUUCCGCAAUGGACGAAAGUCUGACGGAGCAACGCCGCGUGAGUGAUGAAGGUUUUCGGAUCGUAAAGCUCUGUUGUUAGGGAAGAACAAGUACCGUUCGAAUAGGGCGGUACCUUGACGGUACCUAACCAGAAAGCCACGGCUAACUACGUGCCAGCAGCCGCGGUAAUACGUAGGUGGCAAGCGUUGUCCGGAAUUAUUGGGCGUAAAGGGCUCGCAGGCGGUUCCUUAAGUCUGAUGUGAAAGCCCCCGGCUCAACCGGGGAGGGUCAUUGGAAACUGGGGAACUUGAGUGCAGAAGAGGAGAGUGGAAUUCCACGUGUAGCGGUGAAAUGCGUAGAGAUGUGGAGGAACACCAGUGGCGAAGGCGACUCUCUGGUCUGUAACUGACGCU
This 703-nucleotide ribosomal RNA is filed under the name Bacillus sp. (in: firmicutes). RNAcentral's name for it is "bacterial SSU rRNA". It matches the Rfam family "Bacterial small subunit ribosomal RNA", at positions 62 to 747 of the family's 1533-position model. The record is from RNAcentral. Lineage: Bacteria; Bacillati; Bacillota; Bacilli; Caryophanales; Bacillaceae.